GUGCACUUGCGUCACAGCUGUCACCCUGUAUUACACAAAGUGCCUCACAAACACGCCAGACCUCGGUCCCCAGGGAGAGCCAGCCCUUUCCAAGGACGGCCCCAACGAGCCAGCAGCCAAACCUCACAAAGGAAGAUAGAAAAGGAUGUCUUUUCAUCAACCUACACACCUCCAUCCUGCUUCCCAAGUUGUCUCCGAGUGAUAUCAGCUCUAAGUUUACUGUCUGGGCAGUUCAAGCAUUAAUCUUUACUGUUUCAGACCCACACUGGCAACAUAAGCUUUGUAACUAUGUUGGCUCUGCCUGGGCAUCACCUGAUGCUUUCAUACUCCAGUUAAUAAAUACUUCUGAAUUGCUUAUAGAAAUUAAGCCACAUGAAAGAAAGGGUGGCUUGUUGGUGUGGAUUUUUUAGACAGGGGGUAUUGCUUAUCUCCAGGUGAUGGUGCCUCCUGCAAUGAGGAAACUCAGUGGCUGAGGUCAGUAGGAUGCUUGGAAUCCCUUCCUUCAAGUGUGUGUGUGUGUGUGUGGUGACUCAGAGCAAGGGCUGAAUUACUUUGGUCUGAGACACCAGGCCCCUACUGCUUCUCCAAUCCUAGGCUGUAACAGCCCCUCUGGAAAUCUGAUUUUCUAGGAACUGAGGGCAAACACAAGAGAAAAGCAUUCCGCUGUUGAUGCUGUGCUGAGGAAUGCUUUAUUUUCUUUUAUUUCCUUUCCGGGAAACUGUCCAAGUAAGAUCCAGCUCCUUGUGCAGCCCCUAGAGCUGAGUGGCUUCUCAAAGUGCCAUAGCGCGAGUGUUGGGCUCUGUGGAGGCUGAAGUCACCUGUGUCCACCUCCUGGACAAUACUUAAUCCUUAUUAACUCUUUAUGAUUUAAUCUGAAGUAUUAAUGAUUAGUUUGCUUUAUCUUCUUAAGGAGCUCAAGUGACUUUACAUAACUGUGGCCUUUUCUACAUUAGCAAGCUUUGUUGUCCACUGCUAAGAGCGUGAAGGAGGGGGAUGAUGUGGUGAGUACUCAGAGCCACCAGGUCCCUGUGCUGUUCUGGAGCAGAAAAUUUGUCACUGGCACAGAUGGCAUAGCUCAAAACUUGAUUUAGUUAACUCUGGUUUUGGUCACUGACUGCUUCCAGCUUGAGGCAAAGGCCACUGGAGUUGUUUGAGAGUUUCUCUGAAAGAAAUAUCGAACAAUUCUGAGCCCUGGGAGUGGAGAGAGGCCCUUGGUUUCAUCUGCUCUCCCCUUGAAAUACAUUUUAGUCCCAGUGUCUGGGCUUAGUGAAGUAUUAUCCUUUUGUUUUAUUUAAAAAAGAAAAAAAGAAAACAGGUUUUUUUGCAGCUGGUGUGAAGCAGCAGGUAGUGAGGCACAGCCAGAAAUGGAGCUCAGGG
This 1377-nucleotide long non-coding RNA is filed under the name Cyanistes caeruleus (blue tit). Its description in RNAcentral is "lncRNA (ENSCCEG00000024297.1)". The record is from RNAcentral. Lineage: Eukaryota; Metazoa; Chordata; Aves; Passeriformes; Paridae.